Molecule: long non-coding RNA, 967 nt
Organism: Cucurbita maxima (winter squash)
Lineage: Eukaryota; Viridiplantae; Streptophyta; Magnoliopsida; Cucurbitales; Cucurbitaceae
Exons: 2
Source: RefSeq, a predicted model, not a curated record
UGAAUGAUUUUCUUCUUCUUUCUUUGUUUUUUUUUUUUUAGUGAUCUUAAUGGAUGAAGAAAUUGCAGUGGAAAAAUGAAAAUCGAAAAGCAAGUUCAGCUUCUUGACUGGAUCGUUCUAUCGAUCCAGCCAAAAUUUUACUCAAAACCUUGCGAAAUCUAAUUCGCCUACAUCACUCGUCUGAGUUUCUUGAUUCUGGAUCCUCAGGCCCCUUAAUUGCUGGUACAUUGCCAAAUUUCACUGGUUCUGCUGCUUUCUGUCCCUAUUUUGAAAGAAAAGCGUUCUCGACUCGGAAUCUCUGGCAUAAUAUGAAGUUUUCUUCCAUUUGAUCCUUCCUUCUUGUAAGUGUAAAAUGAAAAGUGAGCAGUGUUCAUGGAUGCUGGUCAGGUUAAUUCACGGUUGGCUUCAACAAGAUUUAAAUCCAUCUAACCAUCUUGCUAAUAUUUGUUUUCCUUCAGGCUAAAUUUGUCGAUGGAUUAUAUACCCAGCUUUGCAAUGAAAAUGGCUCAUCCCAACGAUUCUUCUUCUGUCUCUCAUUCCCUGCACAGCUUUUGGCGUUCAACGUCGUCUUGAUAAAACAUUUUUCAGACUUAAAAGCUACCAAUCACGAGGGAGCAACUCAGCAAUUGUGAGCAGUUGAAUCAACAACCAAUAGCCAAUCACAAGCUGCUGAGAAUGUGUUGCUUCUCCAUUCAGCCCUGAAAUCCAUAUGCUUUCGACAUGAUAGAGAGAGGUGUUGGGGAAGGUGAUUACGUAGAGGAAGAGGAGAAUAGGCCAUUUUUCUCCUUGGUCUCAUCUCUUUGUAUUUAGACUUUGAAGAUUAGGAUGACUGUUCCUUCAAUUUCUCUUGGUUCUUUUGAACUGGUUGGUUCUGAGUCCUGCACAUGUUCAUGUUUGUAAGUGACCCGUUUUACCAGAGAGGCAGAGACCAAUCUAAUAAGGAGAUAAUACUAUUUUAAGUGCUCCA